CCGGCCGCCUGGAGCCGCUCAGCGCGCCCGGCGAGGACCCGGCCUCGCGCUCCGCCAGCGCCCGCCUGAGCCGCCCGAGCCGCUCUCCGCCCGCCGGAGCCGCCACUGCUGCCGCGAGGUCCCGUCGGGGGUGCGCCGGCCCGGAGGCAGGGGCGUCCGGCACGAUUCCGGUCUGGUCACGUUGGAGACUGGUCAUUUUCUAGAGGGAAAGGAGAAGCCCAUGAAAGGAUGGUGAAUUCUCUUUGAGUUUCAGUUGCCAGAAUAAAAGGUGGCCUGCUCUGUGGAGCCCAGCGGAGUGCAGGGUGCACUGGUGAUUCCACAGAGGAGGAGCCUGGCCCAGAGCAUCCAGUCUGGCUCUGCGCACCUAGCAACCUCUGAGUAGCUGCCCCGAAGGGAGGUUUGCGUUUCUGAUUUCCCUUCCAGCUUCUCCCCGCCCCCCCGCACCCCAGCUGUGGUUGGCAUGCCUUUGCGUGUCAGGCUGCGUGGAUCCUCUCCAGCAUCAGCCUCUGUCGCCUCUCACCCUGUCAUCCCGUGCCCCUGCGCGUGCCCAGCCCACAUCCCAGCGUGCCCGCCCGCUCCUGCUCCGGCCCUGGCUCCCCAUCACAUCAGGGCUUCACCCCUCCCACUUUUACCCAUCUCGGCCCUCCCUGCGGUGCCCUUGCCAAUGCCACGCCUGUCUCUUGGCCUCUCCCUCCUCCGCCUGCAGGCCCCUGGCUUCCCUGGCAUCCCCCUCCUGCCUCUGACCCUGGGCAGGCUGUUGGUGCAGCCAGCCCAGAAGGGACCACGCAUGCAGCCCUCUCCCUCCCUCCCGCUCUGCACACUGGCCCAGAUCUGCACAGAAUCCGGUCACGUGCCUAACACAGCCCGAACUUUUCACAGUGUGGAUCUUUGGCCGUAGCCAGGGCUCAGGCCCACAGGCUCAGCGUGGCAUCCUGGGCCUGUCGGAUGCAGGUUCCCCCCUCCGACCGCUGGGUGCCGAGUUCCAGGCCUGUGUGAUUACUGCUGGCUCCGCCCCACGGCUCACACUCACUGUUCUUGUCCGGUACCUCUGCCUUCCUGAAGACCCCGAGGUGCCUCCUCCGAGCAGCAGCCGGGGGCAGGGCGGGUGGGAGGAGCACAGACUUGGAGGAGGUGGCCCUGAUCUCAGCAGAGAGGGCUGCGGCAGAGGUGGACUGACUCCCUGCCUUAGCCUCUAGCACAGAUGUUUACAAAGUGCUGGCUUUCUGCUCCUGGAAGCUCUUCCAAUCUGUCCUCAGUGGGUUUUUGCUUUAGGUCAUUGUUUUGCUGACAAAAUCUUCAAUAAAGAAGCCCCUUCUGUUGCAGAGGGCAAGAGAGCCUGUAGGUGGAAGCUCCUGAAUGCUGCUUCUGCAUACUCCAGGCUGUUUGAUGAGCAGGCAGGGUAACCCAGGGCCUGGCCUGCACCAGGCCGUGAUCCUCCCCAGCGCCACAAAGCAGAGCAAAACAAGCCACCCUCAGUGCACAGUGCUGCCCGCAGCCCUUUCGGGGACAGUCCCUCGGCUCAGCUCCAGCCUUCGGCCCAAGGUGCAGGCUCUCAAGAGGUUCUAGACUCCUUGUCAUCCAGAUCCAGCAGCAUGUGUCCUAGAAGGGAAGUACGGGACCUCUAGAGAUCUGAACCCACUUUGCUCGAGUGCUUCUUCACCCUAGACGGAGGGCACCUGGGAGGGUGACCCCCGAGGGGUCUUGCUUUGGCUUCUCCGAGGGGCAGUGGUGGAGUGGGAUGAACGUAGUGGGAGCAGGUGUGGCUGAGUGUGCGGUGUGGGCUGCAGGGCAGGGUGAGCAGCGGUGCUCCCUUCCCUCUACCUCUGAACCCAGGUGACAGGAGCACCUCCCCCUUGGAGUGGGGAAACUGCCAGUGGCUGCAGAACACAGCCGGAGAACAGGGCCCUCCGAUGCCUCUGCCCGUCAGGCCUGGCUGCAUGCUGGGGAGGGGAGUGUGCCUGUCGGUGGCAUCUGCAUUCCCAGGUGAGGGGCAACCUCCACUGAGGCCUGACCAGAAGAAACAGAACUGCAGACCCGGACCCUGGGGUCUGGGGUCAACAUGGGGAGUGGCUCAACACAGUUCCAGCCCUGGAGUUGUUUACAAUAUGUUAUUUGAAAUUUUAACACGAUCAGAGUUAAAUCACGACUAUUAAACACUCCCUUGAUCCAGGUACUUUGUGUCCCUUUAUUUUGAGAUGUGCCUAGGCUCACCGUGUCUGGUAGGGGGGUAGACGGGGUUUGCUCCCCUGGGAAGAGCUGCCUGUUACUAGGGCUGGUGUCAGUAGAAGCGUCCAGGGUCACAAGUGUGCUCCCGUGGGAACAGGGCACUGGAAAUCUGCUGCACCUGGCAAGACGGGCACUACAGCCCAGGACAGUGCCAGCUGAAAUGCAAUCCUCUGUGUGGCCGAGAGCUGCUGUCAAAAACAGAAAAGCUGGCUCUGAUUCUCUGAAUCCAAAUCCAGCCCAGUGAUCCCAGAGCCAGCUGCUCGGGCCCCUAAGGUGAGGUCUCAGGGCCCAGGCUGACCUCUUGUGUCCUCAUGGAGCCUACCAAGCCCUUGUGGUUCACUCGUUAACUUUGAUGAGAGGAAAUCUCUGCAAAAUCCUGUGUACGGUCCCAGAGACAUAUUUUAUCAUCAUGAUAAAGUAUCGUGUCGAUGUAAUCACAAGGCUUCCUAAGCUGUCUUCAUCAAGGGUAAGACAACCAGCAGUUAGCAGGUACCUGUAUUUAGCAAGUUAAACAGUCUUUGGUCUUGGGGCAGGGGAGAAAAUUCAAUGGUAGAGCAUGUACUGAGCAUGCAUAAGGCCUGAGUUCAGUGCUCAGCAAAAAUAGAA
RNAcentral lists this long non-coding RNA (2832 nucleotides) under Heterocephalus glaber (naked mole-rat). Its description in RNAcentral is "lncRNA (ENSHGLG00100048328.1)". The record is from RNAcentral. Lineage: Eukaryota; Metazoa; Chordata; Mammalia; Rodentia; Bathyergidae.